RNAcentral lists this long non-coding RNA (610 nucleotides) under Ananas comosus (pineapple). RNAcentral describes it as "long non-coding RNA (ACOM_LNC034866)". Lineage: Eukaryota; Viridiplantae; Streptophyta; Magnoliopsida; Poales; Bromeliaceae. The record is from RNAcentral.
AUUUUGCUCGUAACUUUACUUUGACUUUUCGUAACGUUAAUCCGAGCGCACCCACGCGUCGGAAACACCCCCAAUUAGGUUUUUGGAGGGUCAAUUGCACUUAGAAACCCUCAUGAGCAAAAGCCCCAAUUUGGUGCCCUAGCUCCAACACAUGUAUCAAACCUAGGGUUUGAUCUCAAAGAGAAGCAAAAGUAGCUUCAUUACACUCUACUUAGUCCAUUAGAACCAUUCUUAGGCUUUCCAAAACCCUAGAUUAGAUUUCACCAUUAGAGGUGGUCCAAGCUUACCUCUAUAGCAAAUCUAGAUUUUGAUCUCUAAAGAAGCAAAAAGAAAGCUUCAAAUACUCUAAAAACUCCAUAAAAACCAAUUUUAGGUUUAUCCAAACCCUAGUUUGGGAGUAAUCAUGAAAAGGGGAAAAGCCUACCUCAAAGCUUGCCCUAACUUGCACUAGAGAGGAAGAAGAUGCAGCUCCUUUAGCUCCUUGAUCUUCUUCCUCACUUUCUUCUCCUUCUUCUCCUUCUUUUCUUCCUUUCUUCUUCUUCUCCUUCUUUGUCUUCUAGAGAGAGAAAGAGAGGAGAGAGUGUGAGAGGGAGUGGAAUGAGAGGAAAAA